GUACUGCUGAGGAGUUCCACAAUAGGACGAAACGGCCGUUCAGUGC
Molecule: non-coding RNA, 46 nt
Filed under: Schistosoma mansoni
Lineage: Eukaryota; Metazoa; Platyhelminthes; Trematoda; Strigeidida; Schistosomatidae
Also listed under: 1 other name
Source: RNAcentral